Molecule: long non-coding RNA, 953 nt
Organism: Oncorhynchus nerka (sockeye salmon)
Lineage: Eukaryota; Metazoa; Chordata; Actinopteri; Salmoniformes; Salmonidae
Exons: 2
Source: RefSeq, a predicted model, not a curated record
UACAAGCGGAACUACGUAGCUAAUACUGUUGUAACUGGGGAUCCUUAUUGUAGCAACACACUUUUGUAGGGAAGGCAAUCCUGCGCUGCGUUAGCUAAGUUUUCAUGUCAUCGGGUGUAGUUCAUAAAGGUUGAAGAGUGUAUGUUAGGAUGAAGUGUGAAUUCAUGCCAGGAAUAAUAAGUGUGAAGUUUGAUUUCCUCCCUUCUGUAAUAAGCAGCCAAUGAGUUCUCACUGAAGGGGAUAAUUCUCACUGAAACUACAGAAUAAAGCCGCCAGUUAAAAUCAUGGAACGGUUGUGCUCGUGGUUACUGAAGGGAGCUACAAGACCAUUAUUCGUUUCGAAUUCACCAACUCAAAGAUGCUUGCCCGCUCCAUCAUAACUCCGUAAGUUUUCCCUCCCUGUGUAGAUCAAACGUCCUGCCUGUAAAUCCUGGGUAUGCCCACAUCAUUAAUGAAUAAGAUGUGUAGAAAACUGUUUAGCCAUAGUUAAAGGCCUUUCAUAAAGAGGCUGUCAUGAUUGCCUGUGCCUCAUGUUUAACACGUAUUGCUUGUUACCGAAUACUACUGUUGUACAUUUAAUAUCUACUAGCCGAUUUCGUCGCAUUUGCACAAAUUCUGUCAUGUUACUGUGGUCUUUUUAAAAGUCAAUAAAUAUGUGUGUAGAGUGUACAUGUUUGUUUCACUGUAGAUCUGUUUAAGACCUCCUAGAAACACCUAAUUUCAUCCCACAGCAUUAAUUAAUAAGCUGUGUAGAAGCUGUUUAGCCAUAAGUAAAGGCCUUUCAUAAAGCAGCUGUCAUGAUUGCAUGUCCCUUAUGUUUAACACGUAUUGCUUGUUACAGAAUACUACUGUUGUACAUUUAAUAUCCCCUAGCAGAUUUCGUUGCCUUUGCACAAAUUCUGUCAUGUUACUGUGGUCUUUUUAAAAGUCAAUAAAAAUGUGUGUAAAGUGUC